ACGGAAGGCAGCAGUGGGGAAUAUUGCACAAUGGGGGAAACCCUGAUGCAGCGAUGCCGCGUGAAGGAAGAAGUUCUUCGGUAUGUAAAGCUCUAUCAGCAAGGAAGAAAAUGACGGUACUUGACUAAGAAGCUCCGGCUAAAUACGUGCCAGCAGCCGCGGUAAUACGUAGGGGGCAAGCGUUAUCCGGAUUUACUGGGUGUAAAGGGUGUGUAGGCGGCAAGGCAAGUCAGAAGUGAAAUGCCGGGGCUCAACUCCGGAGCUGCUUUUGAAACUGCCAUGCUGGAGUCCAGGAGAGGCAGGCGGAAUUCCUAGUGUAGCGGUGAAAUGCGUAGAUAUUAGGAAGAACACCAGUGGCGAAGGCGGCCUGCUGGACUGGAACUGACGCUGAGGCACGAAAGCGUGGGGAGCAAACAGGAUUAGAUACCCUGGUA
RNAcentral lists this ribosomal RNA (434 nucleotides) under uncultured Lachnospiraceae bacterium. RNAcentral describes it as "bacterial SSU rRNA". It matches the Rfam family "Bacterial small subunit ribosomal RNA", at positions 341 to 792 of the family's 1533-position model. The record is from RNAcentral. Lineage: Bacteria; Bacillati; Bacillota; Clostridia; Lachnospirales; Lachnospiraceae.